Sander lucioperca (pikeperch) is the source of this 80-nucleotide long non-coding RNA. RefSeq lists it as uncharacterized. The record is from RefSeq and is a predicted model, not a curated record. The transcript has 3 exons. Lineage: Eukaryota; Metazoa; Chordata; Actinopteri; Perciformes; Percidae.
GCUGAUGAGAAUGUCAUUCGUUUUUCAGGUAUUUGGUUAUAAACCAAAGUACUGGACAAAUUGUAAUUUUGACCAGUGGA